Molecule: ribosomal RNA, 216 nt
Filed under: uncultured bacterium
Lineage: Bacteria
Description: partial 16S ribosomal RNA
Rfam family: Bacterial small subunit ribosomal RNA
Source: RNAcentral
AAUCCACCUGUAACAGGGGGAGUAACCCGGAGAAAUCCGGACUAAUACCCCAUAAUAUGGGCGCUCCGCAUGGAGAGCCCAUUAAAGAGAGCAAUUUUGGUUACAGACGAGCAUGCGCUCCAUUAGCCAGUUGGCGGGGUAACGGCCCACCAAAGCGACGAUGGAUAGGGGUUCUGAGAGGAAGGUCCCCCACAUUGGAACUGAGACACGGUCCAA